UGAGUAAUGUCUGGGAAACUGCCUGAUGGAGGGGGAUAACUACUGGAAACGGUAGCUAAUACCGCAUAACGUCGCAAGACCAAAGAGGGGGACCUUCGGGCCUCUUGCCAUCAGAUGUGCCCAGAUGGGAUUAGCUAGUAGGUGGGGUAAUGGCUCACCUAGGCGACGAUCCCUAGCUGGUCUGAGAGGAUGACCAGCCACACUGGAACUGAGACACGGUCCAGACUCCUACGGGAGGUAGCAGUGGGGAAUAUUGCACAAUGGGCGCAAGCCUGAUGCAGCCAUGCCGCGUGUGUGAAGAAGGCCUUCGGGUUGUAAAGCACUUUCAGCGAGGAGGAAGGUGGUGAGCUUAAUACGCUCAUCAAUUGACGUUACUCGCAGAAGAAGCACCGGCUAACUCCGUGCCAGCAGCCGCGGUAAUACGGAGGGUGCAAGCGUUAAUCGGAAUUACUGGGCGUAAAGCGCACGCAGGCGGUUUGUUAAGUCAGAUGUGAAAUCCCCGGG
RNAcentral lists this ribosomal RNA (504 nucleotides) under uncultured bacterium. RNAcentral's name for it is "bacterial SSU rRNA". It matches the Rfam family "Bacterial small subunit ribosomal RNA", at positions 107 to 607 of the family's 1533-position model. The record is from RNAcentral.